GCACGAAGUUAGCCGUGGCUGCUUCUGGAGGUACCGUCCGAAUGGGUUACCCCAUCCCAUCUUCCCUCCCGAAAGGGGUUUACAACCCGAAGGCCUUCUUCACUCACGCGGCAUGGCUGGAUCAGGGUUGCCCCCAUUGUCCAAAAUUCCCCACUGCUGCCUCCCGUAGGAGUCUGGGCCGUGUCUCAGUCCCAGUGUGGCUGAUCAUCCUCUCAGACCAGCUACCGAUCGUCGCCUUGGUGGGCCUUUACCCCACCAACUAGCUAAUCGGACAUCGGCCGCUCCAAUCGCACAAGGCCCUUUCGAGUCCCCUGCUUUGCUGUUGCCAGAUCAUGCGGUAUUAGCCCACCUUUCGAUGGGUUAUCCCCCACAACUGGACACGUUCCGAUGUGUUACUCACCCGUUCGCCACUCGCCACCAGGGUUGCCCCCGUGCUGCCGUUCGACUUGCAUGUGUAAAGCAUGCCGCCAGCGUUCAAU
This 479-nucleotide ribosomal RNA is filed under the name uncultured bacterium. RNAcentral describes it as "partial 16S rRNA". The record is from RNAcentral.